UUAAAUUGAAGAGUUUGAUCAUGGCUCAGAUUGAACGCUGGCGGCAGGCCUAACACAUGCAAGUCGAACGGUAACAGAAAGCAGCUUGCUGCUUUGCUGACGAGUGGCGGACGGGUGAGUAAUGUCUGGGAAACUGCCUGAUGGAGGGGGAUAACUACUGGAAACGGUAGCUAAUACCGCAUAACGUCGCAAGACCAAAGAGGGGGACCUU
RNAcentral lists this ribosomal RNA (211 nucleotides) under Escherichia coli. RNAcentral's name for it is "partial 16S ribosomal RNA". It matches the Rfam family "Bacterial small subunit ribosomal RNA", at positions 1 to 216 of the family's 1533-position model. Lineage: Bacteria; Pseudomonadati; Pseudomonadota; Gammaproteobacteria; Enterobacterales; Enterobacteriaceae. The record is from RNAcentral.